UGAGUCAGUGGCUACAUAGCGAGAGUGUCCUAGGCAGAGGAAACAGCUUCUACAAAAGCCCUGAAGCAAGAGAAUGUUUGAAGUGUUCAAGAAUAAACAGGAGAUGCAGAAUGAAUGGAAUUGAGAGUGAGUGAGGCAGUCGGAUACAAGAGAGACUAAUAUGGGGCAGCACUGAAGACUGCUGACAGCAGCCACAUGAGUGAGCUCAGAGUGGACACAACAGCCCCUUCAGAGGCUGCAGGGAUGGCAGACAGCCUGACUGCAAUGUCGUGAAAGAUGCUGAGGCAGAACCAUGCAGCAAAGUCAUUCCCAGAUUCCUGACUCUCAGAAAAUGUGUGAGAUAAUAAAUGCUAUUAUUUUAAGCUGCUAAA
This 371-nucleotide long non-coding RNA is filed under the name Homo sapiens (human). RNAcentral describes it as "HSALNT0314078". Lineage: Eukaryota; Metazoa; Chordata; Mammalia; Primates; Hominidae. The record is from RNAcentral.